Molecule: ribosomal RNA, 440 nt
Filed under: uncultured bacterium
Lineage: Bacteria
Description: bacterial SSU rRNA
Rfam family: Bacterial small subunit ribosomal RNA
Source: RNAcentral
CCUACGGGUUGCACCAGGGGGGAAUAUUGGACAAUGGGCGAAAGCCUGAUCCAGCAAUGCCGCGUGUGUGAAGAAGGUCUUCGGAUUGUAAAGCACUUUCGACGGGGACGAUGAUGACGGUACCCGUAGAAGAAGCCCCGGCUAACUUCGUGCCAGCAGCCGCGGUAAUACGAAGGGGGCUAGCGUUGCUCGGAAUGACUGGGCGUAAAGGGCGCGUAGGCGGUUUAUGCAGUCAGAUGUGAAAUCCCCGGGCUUAACCUGGGAACUGCAUUUGAGACGCAUAGACUAGAGGUCGAGAGAGGGUUGUGGAAUUCCCAGUGUAGAGGUGAAAUUCGUAGAUAUUGGGAAGAACACCGGUGGCGAAGGCGACUUUCUGGACGAAAACUGACGCUGGGGCGCGAAAGCGUGGGGAGCAAACAGGAUUAGAUACCCGUGUAGUC